CACAAGAUACGAUGUUCUUGAAGAACCUCUGAUCUGCUGAGCAAUGUCUUGCGAGAUUUACAGCUCCAAAGGAUUUACCAUAAAUAAAUAAAACCUUUCAACACCUUACAGCUCCUGGGAAACAAAAUCCAAAACAUUCUGAGUUGCGCUUAUCACCUCUUAUUGCCAAUGUUACUGGUUUCGAAAAGCACCAAUGUCUUGUCGGUUCUUGGUGUGAAGCCACUUGCAGCCAGCGAGUGAACCUCCAGGCUCACUGUGAAUCCUAAACCAUGUGAUGCACCUGGGUAUUCUGGCUUUACUGGAAGAUUCAUGGACAGUUAUCAUACUGGUAUGAAGUUUCCAGACAAAUACAUACAUUGCAGCUGUUUUUUGAAUGGGGAAUGUUUUUAUUUUCCAGAAGAUGUCAUUAUAAAGUGAGCUUCUCUGAUCUUUCAACUUUCUGGUAAGUAAUUAAACCAGGCUUUUCCGUUUUCUGUAUGUUUUCUGUAUGAAGCUGCCAUGAACUU
This 506-nucleotide long non-coding RNA is filed under the name Calidris pugnax (ruff). RNAcentral's name for it is "lncRNA (ENSCPUG00000009631.1)". The record is from RNAcentral. Lineage: Eukaryota; Metazoa; Chordata; Aves; Charadriiformes; Scolopacidae.